Helianthus annuus (common sunflower) is the source of this 746-nucleotide long non-coding RNA. RefSeq lists it as uncharacterized. The transcript is spliced from 2 exons. Lineage: Eukaryota; Viridiplantae; Streptophyta; Magnoliopsida; Asterales; Asteraceae. The record is from RefSeq and is a predicted model, not a curated record.
CAGAUGUGAUAGUUACAAGAUAUAAUAUAGAGUAAUGCAUUUUGGUUAAUAAAAGUUUGGAGUCCGUUAUAGAGAUUGUGAAAUUAGGCUGCAAAAAGGUUGCGGAAGAUACCGACCCACAUACAUUGUUCUCUCAUCCUUCCUGUUCAAAAAGACUGACGACCACGCCACCACGACGGCGUCACCGACGACGGCCUACUGCCACCACCGCUCGGUCCUUUACAACUUGAAAACCGAAACCCUAGGUCUGAAAAUCGGCAUCUCCGUUACGGUUACAAUAUUCGUUACGAUCUCCGUUACGGUUUCUGAUAAAAUUCGGUUUCUUCGAGUUUGAUGAACUACUACCGAUACAACCGCCGUUAGUAACCGCUAUCUGUGACUGAGGCGAGGUUUGUUGUACGGCCGUUGAGUAACUGCAACCGGAUUGUUGACGGACUUUCAGUCGCUGAUAUACGGAGAAACCGAACGAUUGACCGUCGGAUUCCGGAUUAUGACGGUUCAGAUCUAUCGACUGAGGUUGAGAUUCUUUGAAUCCGCCGGUGAGUAUAGUCAUCGGCCGGAUAAAAGUUUUCAGGUGAUUCAUGAUGAUGGAGGAUGAUAAUAUGGAUGAUAUGGAAAGCCACUCAUUUACACCAACUUUGAAUUUUUGGUAUUGCAUUUGUCUUCGAGACUUUAUGUUUUUUAAUGGAAUUGAUUAUGAACAAAUAAGGAUUGCAUUUUAAUGAAAGUUUGUGUUUUUAUUAUGA